CGGCAACAGCUCAAAUUUGAAAUCUGGCCUCUUUGGGGUCCGAGUUGUAAUUUGGAGGGGAUGUUUCGGGUACGGUCCGGGCUUAAAUUUCUUGGAACAGAAUGUCACAGAGGGUGAGAAUCC
RNAcentral lists this ribosomal RNA (123 nucleotides) under Cyphellophora gamsii. RNAcentral describes it as "partial large subunit ribosomal RNA". It matches the Rfam family "Eukaryotic large subunit ribosomal RNA", at positions 99 to 221 of the family's 3401-position model. The record is from RNAcentral. Lineage: Eukaryota; Fungi; Ascomycota; Eurotiomycetes; Chaetothyriales; Cyphellophoraceae.